CCCGUUCCCAUUUCGAACACGGAAGUUAAGCUCCCCAGCGCCGAUGGUACUGCCUGGGCAACUGGGUGGGAGAGUAGGUCGUCGCCGG
Molecule: ribosomal RNA, 88 nt
Filed under: uncultured Acidobacteria bacterium HF0770_27F21
Lineage: Bacteria; Pseudomonadati; Acidobacteriota
Source: RNAcentral